This 445-nucleotide ribosomal RNA is filed under the name Pseudomonas sp. SN6. RNAcentral describes it as "bacterial SSU rRNA". It matches the Rfam family "Bacterial small subunit ribosomal RNA", at positions 202 to 640 of the family's 1533-position model. Lineage: Bacteria; Pseudomonadati; Pseudomonadota; Gammaproteobacteria; Pseudomonadales; Pseudomonadaceae. The record is from RNAcentral.
UUCGGGCCUUGCGCUAUCAGAUGAGCCUAGGUCGGAUUAGCUAGUUGGUGGGGUAAUGGCUCACCAAGGCGACGAUCCGUAACUGGUCUGAGAGGAUGAUCAGUCACACUGGAACUGAGACACGGUCCAGACUCCUACGGGAGGCAGCAGUGGGGAAUAUUGGACAAUGGGCGAAAGCCUGAUCCAGCCAUGCCGCGUGUGUGAAGAAGGUCUUCGGAUUGUAAAGCACUUUAAGUUGGGAGGAAGGGUUGUAGAUUAAUACUCUGCAAUUUUGACGUUACCGACAGAAUAAGCACCGGCUAACUCUGUGCCAGCAGCCGCGGUAAUACAGAGGGUGCAAGCGUUAAUCGGAAUUACUGGGCGUAAAGCGCGCGUAGGUGGUUAGUUAAGGUUGGAAUGUGAAAUCCCCGGGCUCAACCUGGGAACUGCAUUCAAAACUGACUGA